Molecule: ribosomal RNA, 458 nt
Filed under: uncultured bacterium
Lineage: Bacteria
Description: partial 16S ribosomal RNA
Rfam family: Bacterial small subunit ribosomal RNA
Source: RNAcentral
AACGAAUGCUGGCGGCCGGCCUUACACAUGCAAGUCGAACGUGAAAGUCCUUCGGGAUGAGUAAAGUGGCGCACGGGUGAGUAACGCGUGGGAACAUGCCCUUCAGUACGGGAUAACAGCGGGAAGCUGCUGCUAAUACCGUAUAUUCCCUACGGGGGAAAGAUUUAUCGCUGAAGGAUUGGCCCGCGUUAGAUUAGCUAGUUGGUGAGGUAAUGGCUCACCAAGGCUACGAUCUAUAGCCGGUCUGAGAGGACGAUCGGCCACACUGGAACUGAGACACGGUCCAGACUCCUACGGGAGGCAGCAGUGGGGAAUAUUGGACAAUGGGCGAAAGCCUGAUCCAGCCAUGCCGCGUGAGUGAUGAAGGCCUUAGGGUUGUAAAGCUCUUUUGGCGGGGAAGAUAAUGACGGUACCCGCAGAAUAAGCCCCGGCUAACUUCGUGCCAGCAGCCGCAGUAA